UACGGAGGGUGCAAGCGUUAUCCGGAAUUACUGGGUUUAAAGGGUGCGUAGGCGGUUAAUUAAGUCAGAGGUGAAAGGUAAUUGCUUAACGAUUGAAUUGCCUUUGAUACUGGUUAACUUCAAAGGAGAUGAGGUUGGCGGAAUGUGAUAUGUAGCGGUGAAAUGCGUAGAUAUAUCAUAGAACACCGAUUGCGAAGGCAGCUGACUAAUCUUACUUUGACGCUGAGGCACGAAAGCGUGGGGAGCGAACAGG
Molecule: ribosomal RNA, 253 nt
Filed under: uncultured bacterium
Lineage: Bacteria
Description: partial 16S ribosomal RNA
Rfam family: Bacterial small subunit ribosomal RNA
Source: RNAcentral